RNAcentral lists this ribosomal RNA (491 nucleotides) under uncultured bacterium. RNAcentral's name for it is "partial 16S ribosomal RNA". It matches the Rfam family "Bacterial small subunit ribosomal RNA", at positions 29 to 507 of the family's 1533-position model. The record is from RNAcentral.
GUGAACGCUGGCGGUAGGCCUAACACAUGCAAGUCGAACGGCAGCACAGUAAGAGCUUGCUCUUACGGGUGGCGAGUGGCGGACGGGUGAGGAAUACAUCGGAAUCUACUUUUUCGUGGGGGAUAACGUAGGGAAACUUACGCUAAUACCGCAUACGACCUACGGGUGAAAGCAGGGGAUCUUCGGACCUUGCGCGAUUGAAUGAGCCGAUGUCGGAUUAGCUAGUUGGCGGGGUAAAGGCCCACCAAGGCGACGAUCCGUAGCUGGUCUGGGAGGAUGAUCAGCCACACUGGAACUGAGACACGGUCCAGACUCCUACGGGAGGCAGCAGUGGGGAAUAUUGGACAAUGGGCGCAAGCCUGAUCCAGCCAUACCGCGUGGGUGAAGAAGGCCUUCGGGUUGUAAAGCCCUUUUGUUGGGAAAGAAAAGCAGCAGGUUAAUACCCCGCUGUUCUGACGGUACCCAAAGAAUAAGCACCGGCUAACUUCGUG